CGAAAAGAUCAGAAUAAGAAGAGUAGCGAUUGCACGUGCUUGCUAGAGAGUCAGUGGCGGGUGGGAACUGAUACACGGCAUUCGUGAAUGGACUUAUGGCAGCUGUUUUGUUUCAAAACAGACGUGUGCCCGCGUUAAGGGCAGUGUGAAAACACAUAAAGUGGGAGUGCUCAGGCGCUUCAAUUUGAGGUGGCAACGCGGUUAUUUAAUCGUCCUCUGC
Molecule: non-coding RNA, 220 nt
Filed under: Sporosarcina sp.
Lineage: Bacteria; Bacillati; Bacillota; Bacilli; Caryophanales; Caryophanaceae
Description: T-box sequence
Rfam family: T-box leader
About the family: Uncharged tRNA acts as the effector for transcription antitermination of genes in the T-box leader family. T-boxes are found upstream of many aminoacyl-tRNA synthetase genes and some amino acid biosynthetic genes usually in Gram-positive bacteria. The anticodon of a specific tRNA base pairs to a specifier sequence within the T-box motif, and the NCCA acceptor tail of the tRNA base pairs to a conserved bulge in the T-box antiterminator hairpin.
Source: RNAcentral